RNAcentral lists this ribosomal RNA (217 nucleotides) under uncultured bacterium. RNAcentral's name for it is "partial 16S ribosomal RNA". It matches the Rfam family "Bacterial small subunit ribosomal RNA", at positions 155 to 353 of the family's 1533-position model. The record is from RNAcentral.
ACGAACUGCUAAUACCGAAUAAGUUCCAAGAGCCGCAUGGCCCAUGGAAGAAAAGGUGGCCUCUACCUGUAAGCUAUCGCCUGAAGAGGGGUUUGCGUCUGAUUAGCUGGUUGGAGGGGUAACGGCCCACCAAGGCGACGAUCAGUAGCCGGUCUGAGAGGAUGAACGGCCACACUGGAACUGAGACACGGCCCAGACUCCUACGGGAGGCAGCAUG